GCGUUUGUAGUCUAAUGGUUAGGAUUAUUGCCUUCCAAGCUAUAGACUCGGGUUCCACUCUCGGCAAAUGCA
Molecule: transfer RNA, 72 nt
Filed under: Ipomoea nil (Japanese morning glory)
Lineage: Eukaryota; Viridiplantae; Streptophyta; Magnoliopsida; Solanales; Convolvulaceae
Rfam family: tRNA
About the family: Transfer RNA (tRNA) molecules are approximately 80 nucleotides in length. Their secondary structure includes four short double-helical elements and three loops (D, anti-codon, and T loops).
Source: Rfam by way of RNAcentral